ACCGAGUGGCGACGGGUGAGUAACGCGUGGGUAACCUGCCUCAGUACAGGGGGAUAACGAUUGGAAACGAUUGCUAAUACCGCAUAAGCGCACGGGAUCGCAUGAUCCAGUGUGAAAAACUCCGGUGGCAUAUGAUGGACCCGCGUCUGAUUAGCUAGUUGGUGAGGUAACGGCCCACCAAGGCGACGAUCAGUAGCCGGCCUGAGAGGGUGAACGGCCACAUUGGGACUGAGACACGGCCCAAACUCCUACGGGAGGCAGCAGUGGGGAAUAUUGGACAAUGGGGGGAACCCUGAUCCAGCGACGCCGCGUGAGUGAAGAAGUAUUUCGGUAUGUAAAGCUCUAUCAGCAAGAAAGAAAAUGACGGUACUUGACUAAGAAGCCCCGGCUAACUACGUG
RNAcentral lists this ribosomal RNA (399 nucleotides) under uncultured bacterium. RNAcentral's name for it is "bacterial SSU rRNA". It matches the Rfam family "Bacterial small subunit ribosomal RNA", at positions 90 to 507 of the family's 1533-position model. The record is from RNAcentral.